This is a long non-coding RNA of Etheostoma spectabile (orangethroat darter), 84 nucleotides long. RefSeq lists it as uncharacterized. NCBI's taxonomy places the organism in Eukaryota, Metazoa, Chordata, Actinopteri, Perciformes, Percidae. The transcript is spliced from 3 exons. The record is from RefSeq and is a predicted model, not a curated record.
GCUAAUUUGGCAUACAUUUAAUGGUGCCAAUUUGCCAAGAAUGUAAACAAAAAAUCAGCAAAAAACCAGUUGUAGCCUAUAGCU